AGAGUUUGAUCCUGGCUCAGGAUGAACGCUAGCGGCAGGCUUAACACAUGCAAGUCGAGGGGCAGCGGGCCCCGCAGCAAUGCGGGGCGCCGGCGACCGGCAAACGGGUGCGGAACACGUACGCAACAUACCCGGUACUGGGGCAUAGCCUUCUGAAAAGGAGAUUAACACCCCAUAAGAUAGUAGAGUGGCAUCACUCAGCUAUUAAAUAUUUAUAGGUACCGGAUUGGCGUGCGUCCUAUUAGCUAGUUGGCAGGGUAAUGGCCUACCAAGGCGACGAUAGGUAGCUGGUGUGAGAGCACGACCAGCCACACGGGCACUGAGACACGGGCCCGACUCCUACGGGAGGCAGCAGUGAGGAAUAUUGGUCAAUGGACGCAAGUCUGAACCAGCCAUGCCGCGUGAAGGAUGAAGGCGUUCUGCGUUGUAAACUUCUUUUAUUGGGGAAGAAACCUGGUUAUUCUUAGCCAGCCGACGGUACCCAAGGAAUAAGCACCGGCUAACUCCGUGCCAGCAGCCGCGGUAAUACGGAGGGUGCAAGCGUUAUCCGGAUUUACUGGGUUUAAAGGGUGUGUAGGCGGACUUUUAAGUCAGCGGUGAAAUCUCCGGGCUCAACCCGGAAACUGCCAUUGAUACUAUUGGUCUUGAAUGUUGUUGAGGUGGGCGGAACGGGUCAUGUAGCGGUGAAAUGCAUAGAUAUGACCCGGAACACCGAUUGCGUACGCAGCCCACUAAGCAACGAUUGACGCUGAGCACGAAAGCGUGGGGAUCAAACAGGAUUAGAUACCCUGGUAGUCCACGCCCUAAACGAUGAUUACUCGACGUUGGCGAUACACUGAUCAGCGUCC
RNAcentral lists this ribosomal RNA (848 nucleotides) under uncultured bacterium. RNAcentral's name for it is "bacterial SSU rRNA". It matches the Rfam family "Bacterial small subunit ribosomal RNA", at positions 8 to 848 of the family's 1533-position model. The record is from RNAcentral.